GAAAUGCGAUAAGUAGUGUGAAUUGCAGAAUUCAGUGAAUCAUCGAAUCUUUGAACGCACAUUGCGCCCUUUGGUAUUCCUUAGGGCAUACCUGUUCGAGCGUCAUCUAAACCUUCAAGCCCUGCUUGGUGUUGGGUGCCUGUCCCGCCUCCGCGCGCGGACUCACCUCAAAUCCAUUGGCGGCCCCCGCGUCGGCCACGAGCGCAGCAGAAACGCGAACUCGUGAGCCCGUCCGGGCGGCUCCCAGAAGCUACACCCACCCAGUUUGACCUCGGAUCAGGUAGGGAUACCCGCUAAACUUAAGC
RNAcentral lists this unclassified non-coding RNA (305 nucleotides) under plant metagenome. RNAcentral's name for it is "partial contains 5.8S ribosomal RNA, internal transcribed spacer 2, and large subunit ribosomal RNA". The stretch from base 1 to 105 matches the Rfam family "5.8S ribosomal RNA", at positions 50 to 154 of the family's 154-position model. The record is from RNAcentral.